UAAUUUAGAAAAACUUAAUGAUAGUGUAAAUGGUGUUGUUUUUAGCGAUAUUUCAGACCAUUUACCUAUUGUGCAUAUUUUUAAUUCAAUUAUAUUGGAUAAAAACAGAAACACAAAUGAUACUACAGUAACCUAUCAAGGAGAAUAUAUUAAAGCUAACAUAUAGAAUCGCUCAAAGACGCAGUUAAAAAUAUUUCCUGGAAUGAAGUAUCAAAAGAAUCUAAUGACCCUGAAAAGGCUUAUAAUGAGUUUUUGAAAUUAUUUAUGGGUAUAUAUGAGGCAAAUUUUCCACUUAACAGAAAAGAAAACAAAACAAAACAAAAAUAAAUAAAAUAAAGAGUCCAUGGAUGACUAGGUGUAUAUUAAAGUCAGUCAAAAAUAAAAAUAAAUUAUGCAAAACCCUUCUUAAAAAUCUAAAUAAUAAAAAUAGGCAAAAAUACAUAAAAUAUAAAAAUAAACUAAACCAUAUCAUAAAAAUUGCAAAGAAAAUUUAUUAUGAAGAACAGUUAAUGAAAUACAAGAAAAAUUGAUGAUGUGGAAAACGCUAAAUGAACAACUAAAUAAACCAUCUAAAGAUAUAAAACUAUCAAAAACGUUUGUAGAAAGUUGUUCAUCAAGACCCGAAUGAAAUAGCUAGCAAAUUCAAUGACUACUUUAUUAACAUAGGUCCUACUCUAGCAAAAAAUGAAACACAAUGAAAAUGAGAGUUUUGAAAAAUAUCUUUCUGGCAGUUAUCAGUCAAACUUUUUCUAAGUGCGAUUACGGAACAUGAAC
Paramuricea clavata is the source of this 774-nucleotide non-coding RNA. The record is from the annotation of a GenBank genome assembly. Lineage: Eukaryota; Metazoa; Cnidaria; Anthozoa; Malacalcyonacea; Plexauridae.